This 349-nucleotide ribosomal RNA is filed under the name uncultured bacterium. RNAcentral describes it as "bacterial SSU rRNA". It matches the Rfam family "Bacterial small subunit ribosomal RNA", at positions 29 to 402 of the family's 1533-position model. The record is from RNAcentral.
AACGAACGCUGGCGGCAUGCCUAACACAUGCAAGUCGAACGAGACCUUCGGGUCUAGUGGCGGCACGGGUGCGUAACACGUGGGAAUUUGCCUCGGGGUAUGGAAUAACUCAGGGAAACUUGAGCUAAUACCAUAUAAUGUCUUCGGACCAAAGAUUUAUCGCCCUGAGAUAAGCCCGCGUAGGAUUAGCUAGUUGGUGGGGGUAAAGGCUCACCAAGGCGACGAUCCUUAGCUGGUCUGAGAGGAUGAUCAGCCACACUGGGACUGAGACACGGCCCACGACUCCUACGGGAGGCAGCAGUGGGGAAUAUUGGACAAUGGGCGAAGACCUGAUCCAGCAAUGCCGCGU